GACGAACGCUGGCGGCGUGCCUAAUACAUGCAAGUCGAACGCAUUUUCUUUCACCGUAGCUUGCUACACCGAAAGAAAAUGAGUGGCGAACGGGUGAGUAACACGUGGGUAACCUGCCCAUCAGCGGGGGAUAACACUUGGAAACAGGUGCUAAUACCGCAUAAUUCCAUUUACCGCAUGGUAAAUGGAUGAAAGGCGCUUUUGCGUCACUGAUGGAUGGACCCGCGGUGCAUUAGCUAGUUGGUGGGGUAACGGCCUACCAAGGCUGCGAUGCAUAGCCGACCUGAGAGGGUGAUCGGCCACACUGGGACUGAGACACGGCCCAGACUCCUACGGGAGGCAGCAGUAGGGAAUCUUCGGCAAUGGACGCAAGUCUGACCGAGCAACGCCGCGUGAGUGAAGAAGGUUUUCGGAUCGUAAAACUCUGUUGUUAGAGAAGAACAAGGAUGAGAGUGGAAAGUUCAUCCCUUGACGGUAUCUAACCAGAAAGCCACGGCUAACUACGUA
Molecule: ribosomal RNA, 507 nt
Filed under: uncultured bacterium
Lineage: Bacteria
Description: partial 16S ribosomal RNA
Rfam family: Bacterial small subunit ribosomal RNA
Source: RNAcentral